AGCAGUAGCCGCGGUAAUACGGAGGGGGCUAGCGUUGUUCGGAAUUACUGGGCGUAAAGCGCACGUAGGCGGCUUGGUAAGUUAGAGGUGAAAGCCUGGAGCUCAACUCCAGAAUUGCCUUUAAGACUGCCGAGCUAGCAGGUGAGAGAGGUAAGUGGAAUUCCGAGUGUAGAGGUGAAAUUCGUAGAUAUUCGGAAGAACACCAGUGGCGAAGGCGGCUUACUGGCUCAUACUGGACGCUGAGGUGCGAAAGCGUGGGGAGCAAACAGGAUUAGAUACCCCUGUAGUCCCUGUCUCUUAUAC
RNAcentral lists this ribosomal RNA (303 nucleotides) under uncultured bacterium. Its description in RNAcentral is "partial 16S ribosomal RNA". It matches the Rfam family "Bacterial small subunit ribosomal RNA", at positions 507 to 807 of the family's 1533-position model. The record is from RNAcentral.